This 979-nucleotide ribosomal RNA is filed under the name uncultured Mycoplasma sp. Its description in RNAcentral is "partial 23S ribosomal RNA". It matches the Rfam family "Bacterial large subunit ribosomal RNA", at positions 1013 to 1985 of the family's 2925-position model. The record is from RNAcentral. Lineage: Bacteria; Bacillati; Mycoplasmatota; Mollicutes; Mycoplasmatales; Mycoplasmataceae.
UUGAGGGAAAGAGCCCAGACCAACAAAUAAGGUCCCUAAAUUAAGCUAAGUGGAAAAGGAAGUCAAAAUUCAUAAACAACUAGGAUGUUGGCUUAGAAGCAGCCAUCAUUUAAAGAGUGCGUAAUAGCUCACUAGUCUAGUUUUUUGGCGCCGCAAGUACAACGGGGCUAAGCUUAAUACCGAAUUUUUGGAUUUAAGAUUUAAUAAUUUUAAGUGGUAGACAAAUGUUGUAUAAGGGUUGAAGUUUGAACGAGAGUAUAAAUGGACUUUAUACAAGUAAGAAUUCCGGCGUAAGUAACGAAUGAAAGUGAGAAUCUUUCUAGCCGAUUGAUCAAGGUUUCCGGGGCUAGGUUCGUCCUCCUCGGGUUAGUCGAUCCUAAGGUGAGGCCGAAAGGCGUAGCCGAUGGACAACAGGUUAAUAUUCCUGUACUACCUUAGAUUGUCAACGGGCGGACAAAAGAGGUUAAAGUAAAAGGAUUAUUGGAUUUCCUUCUAAGUUUCGAAGCANGUCGAGGCUGAAAAUCACCUCGACAUUAAUUGCAAGAAACGAAUGCUAUUUUUGGUAGGGAUAUCAGGAAGNAUUACUACCAAUCUCUUUUCGCGAAAAAACUCUAGACUUAAAUCUAAGGUAUUCGUACCGAAACCGAACACACGUGAUCAAGGAGAAUAUCCUAAGGCUAGCGAGCUAANUACAGUUAAGGAACUCUGCAAAUUAACUCUGUAACUUAGGGAGAAAGAGUGCCCCAGAAGGAAUCUGGGGCCACAGUAAAGAACGAGGGCGAACUGUUUAACAAAAACACAGCUAUAUGCAAAAUUCGAAUAUGAAGUAUAUGUGGCGACACCUGCCCGGUGCCAGAAGGUCAAAGAAGGUUGUUAGGCUAGCUUCGGCUAGCCAAAGCUUCUAACUUAAGCCCUGGUGAACGGCGGCCGUAACUAUAACGGUCCUAAGGUAGCGAAAUUCCUUGUCAGGUAAAUUCUG